This 483-nucleotide ribosomal RNA is filed under the name uncultured bacterium. Its description in RNAcentral is "partial 16S ribosomal RNA". It matches the Rfam family "Bacterial small subunit ribosomal RNA", at positions 28 to 507 of the family's 1533-position model. The record is from RNAcentral.
GACGAACGCUGGCGGCGUGCUUAACACAUGCAAGUCGAACGCUGAAGCUCAGCUUUUGUUGGGUGGAUGAGUGGCGAACGGGUGAGUAACACGUGAGUAACCUGCCCCCUUCUUUGGGAUAACGCCCGGAAACGGGUGCUAAUACUGGAUAUUCACUGGUCUUCGCAUGGGGGUUGGUGGAAAGGGUUUUUCUGGUGGGGGAUGGGCUCGCGGCCUAUCAGCUUGUUGGUGGGGUGAUGGCCUACCAAGGCUUUGACGGGUAGCCGGCCUGAGAGGGUGACCGGUAACAUUGGGACUGAGAUACGGCCCAGACUACGACGGGAGGCAGCAGUGGGGAAUAUUGCACAAUGGGCGCAAGACUGAUGCAGCGACGCCGCGUGAGGGAUGGAGGCCUUCGGGUUGUGAACCUCUUUCGCUCAUGGUCAAGCCGCAACAAUGGUUGUGGUGAGGGUAGUGGGUAAAGAAGCGCCGGCUAACUACGUG